CGAGGGGUGCAAGCGUUGCUCGGAAUUAUUGGGCGUAAAGGGCAGGUAGGUGGUCUGAUUUGACAGAGGUGAAAGCCUUGGGCUUAACCCAAGAAGUGCCUCUGAAACGGUCAGACUUGAGUCUUGGAGAGGGUCGUGGAAUUCCCGGUGUAGCGGUGAAAUGCGUAGAGAUCGGGAGGAACACCAGAGGCGAAGGCGGCGACCUGGACAAGCACUGACACUCAACUGCGAAAGCGUGGGGAGCAAACAGGAUUAGAUACCCUGGUAGUCCACGCUGUAAACGAUGGGCACUCGAUUUGGUGGGUCUUGACCCCCGCCGAGUCUGAGCUAACGCGUUAGGUGCCCCGCCUGGGAAGUACGGUCGCAAGACUA
RNAcentral lists this ribosomal RNA (372 nucleotides) under uncultured organism. Its description in RNAcentral is "bacterial SSU rRNA". It matches the Rfam family "Bacterial small subunit ribosomal RNA", at positions 526 to 896 of the family's 1533-position model. The record is from RNAcentral.